This 442-nucleotide ribosomal RNA is filed under the name uncultured bacterium. RNAcentral's name for it is "partial 16S ribosomal RNA". It matches the Rfam family "Bacterial small subunit ribosomal RNA", at positions 338 to 795 of the family's 1533-position model. The record is from RNAcentral.
CCUACGGGAGGCAGCAGUAGGGAAUCUUUCACAAUGGGCGAAAGCCUGAUGGAGCAACGCCGCGUGCAGGAUGAAGGCCUUCGGGUUGUAAACUGCUUUUAUAAGCGAGAAAUAUGAUGGUAACUUAUGAAUAAGGAUCGGCUAACUACGUGCCAACAGCCGCGGUCAUACGUAGGAUCCGAGCAUUAUCCGGAGUGACUGGGUGUAAAGAGUUGCGUAGGUGGCAUAAUAAGUAGCUAGUGAAAUCUGGUGGCUCAACCAUUCAGACUAUUAGCUAAACUGUUAAGCUCGAGACCGUUAGGGGUAACUGGAAUUUCUAGUGUAGGAGUGAAAUCCGUAGAUAUUAGAAGGAACACCAAUAGCGUAGGCAGGUUGCUGGGACGGUUCUGACACUAAGGCACGAAAGCGUAGGGAGCAAACGGGAUUAGAUACCCCUGUAGUC